UCAGUAUGUGUGUUAGUGGAAGCGUCUGGAAAGGCGCGCGAUACAGGGUGACAGCCCCGUACACAAAAAUGCACAUGCUGUGAGCUCGAUGAGUAGGGCGGGACACGUGGUAUCCUGUCUGAAUAUGGGGGGACCAUCCUCCAAGGCUAAAUACUCCUGACUGACCGAUAGUGAACCAGUACCGUGAGGGAAAGGCGAAAAGAACCCCGGCGAGGGGAGUGAAAAAGAACCUGAAACCGUGUACGUACAAGCAGUGGGAGCACGCUUAGGCGUGUGACUGCGUACCUUUUGUAUAAUGGGUCAGCGACUUAUAUUCUGUAGCAAGGUUAACCGAAUAGGGGAGCCGAAGGGAAACCGAGUCUUAACUGGGCGUUAAGUUGCAGGGUAUAGACCCGAAACCCGGUGAUCUAGCCAUGGGCAGGUUGAAGGUUGGGUAACACUAACUGGAGGACCGAACCGACUAAUGUUGAAAAAUUAGCGGAUGACUUGUGGCUGGGGGUGAAAGGCCAAUCAAACCGGGAGAUAGCUGGUUCUCCCCGAAAGCUAUUUAGGUAGCGCCUCGUGAAUUCAUCUCCGGGGGUAGAGCACUGUUUCGGCAAGGGGGUCAUCCCGACUUACCAACCCGAUGCAAACUGCGAAUACCGGAGAAUGUUAUCACGGGAGACACACGGCGGGUGCUAACGUCCGUCGUGAAGAGGGAAACAACCCAGACCGCCAGCUAAGGUCCCAAAGUCAUGGUUAAGUGGGAAACGAUGUGGGAAGGCCCAGACAGCCAGGAUGUUGGCUUAGAAGCAGCCAUCAUUUAAAGAAAGCGUAAUAGCUCACUGGUCGAGUCGGCCUGCGCGGAAGAUGUAACGGGGCUAAACCAUGCAC
This 873-nucleotide ribosomal RNA is filed under the name Escherichia coli. Its description in RNAcentral is "partial 23S ribosomal RNA". It matches the Rfam family "Bacterial large subunit ribosomal RNA", at positions 317 to 1194 of the family's 2925-position model. Lineage: Bacteria; Pseudomonadati; Pseudomonadota; Gammaproteobacteria; Enterobacterales; Enterobacteriaceae. The record is from RNAcentral.